Molecule: ribosomal RNA, 587 nt
Filed under: uncultured bacterium
Lineage: Bacteria
Description: partial 16S ribosomal RNA
Rfam family: Bacterial small subunit ribosomal RNA
Source: RNAcentral
UGGGGAAUUUUGGACAAUGGGCGAAAGCCUGAUCCAGCAAUGCCGCGUGUGUGAAGAAGGCCUUCGGGUUGUAAAGCACUUUUGUCCGGAAAGAAAUCCUUGGCUCUAAUACAGUCGGGGGAUGACGGUACCGGAAGAAUAAGCACCGGCUAACUACGUGCCAGCAGCCGCGGUAAUACGUAGGGUGCAAGCGUUAAUCGGAAUUACUGGGCGUAAAGCGUGCGCAGGCGGUUUGCUAAGACCGAUGUGAAAUCCCCGGGCUCAACCUGGGAACUGCAUUGGUGACUGGCAGGCCAGAGUAUGGCAGAGGGGGGUAGAAUUCCACGUGUAGCAGUGAAAUGCGUAGAGAUGUGGAGGAAUACCGAUGGCGAAGGCAGCCCCCUGGGCCAAUACUGACGCUCAUGCACGAAAAGCGUGGGGAGCAAACAGGAUUAGAUACCCUGGUAGUCCACGCCCUAAAACGAUGUCAACUAGUUGUUGGGGAUUCAUUUCCUUAGUAACGUAGCUAACGCGUGAAGUUGACCGCCUGGGGAGUACGGUCGCAAGAUUAAAACUCAAAUGAAUUGACGGGGUCAUAGCUGUUUCCU